This 468-nucleotide ribosomal RNA is filed under the name uncultured bacterium. Its description in RNAcentral is "partial 16S ribosomal RNA". It matches the Rfam family "Bacterial small subunit ribosomal RNA", at positions 28 to 507 of the family's 1533-position model. The record is from RNAcentral.
GACGAACGCUGGCGGCGUGCUUAACACAUGCAAGUCGAACGGAAAGGCCCUGCUUUUGUGGGGUGCUCGAGUGGCGAACGGGUGAGUAACACGUGAGUAACCUGCCCUUGACUUUGGGAUAACUUCAGGAAACUGGGGCUAAUACCGGAUAGGAGCUCCUGCUGCAUGGUGGGGGUUGGAAAGUUUCGGCGGUUGGGGAUGGACUCGCGGCUUAUGAGCUUGUUGGUGGGGUAGUGGCUUACCAAGGCUUUGACGGGUAGCCGGCCUGAGAGGGUGACCGGCCACAUUGGGACUGAGAUACGGCCCAGACUCCUACGGGAGGCAGCAGUGGGGAAUAUUGCACAAUGGGCGGAAGCCGGAUGCAGCAACGCCGCGUGCGGGAUGACGGCCUUCGGGUUGUAAACCGCUUUCGCCUGUGACGAAGCGUGAGUGACGGUAAUGGGUAAAGAAGCACCGGCUAACUACGUG